Molecule: transfer RNA, 66 nt
Filed under: Jankowskia athleta
Lineage: Eukaryota; Metazoa; Arthropoda; Insecta; Lepidoptera; Geometridae
Description: tRNA-Phe
Source: RNAcentral
AUUUAAAUAGCUUAUAAUAGAGCAUAAUAUUGAAGAUAUUAGGGAGAUAAUAAUUAUCUUUAGAUA